This 315-nucleotide ribosomal RNA is filed under the name uncultured Pseudoflavonifractor sp. RNAcentral describes it as "bacterial SSU rRNA". It matches the Rfam family "Bacterial small subunit ribosomal RNA", at positions 355 to 685 of the family's 1533-position model. Lineage: Bacteria; Bacillati; Bacillota; Clostridia; Eubacteriales; Oscillospiraceae. The record is from RNAcentral.
UGGGGAAUAUUGGGCAAUGGGCGCAAGCCUGACCCAGCAACGCCGCGUGAAGGAAGAAGGCUUUCGGGUUGUAAACUUCUUUUGUCAGGGACGAGCAGAAGACGGUACCUGACGAAUAAGCCACGGCUAACUACGUGCCAGCAGCCGCGGUAAUACGUAGGUGGCAAGCGUUGUCCGGAUUUACUGGGUGUAAAGGGCGUGUAGCCGGGAGGGCAAGUCAGAUGUGAAAUCCACGGGCUCAACUCGUGAACUGCAUUUGAAACUACUCUUCUUGAGUAUCGGAGAGGCAAUCGGAAUUCCUAGUGUAGCGGUGAA